This 504-nucleotide ribosomal RNA is filed under the name uncultured bacterium. RNAcentral's name for it is "partial 16S ribosomal RNA". It matches the Rfam family "Bacterial small subunit ribosomal RNA", at positions 29 to 523 of the family's 1533-position model. The record is from RNAcentral.
AUUGAACGCUGGCGGCAGGCCUAACACAUGCAAGUCGAACGGUAGCACAGAGAGCUUGCUCUCGGGUGACGAGUGGCGGACGGGUGAGUAACGUCUGGGAAACUGCCCGAUGGAGGGGGAUAACUACUGGAAACGGUAGCUAAUACCGCAUAACGUCGCAAGACCAAAGUGGGGGACCUUCGGGCCUCACACCAUCGGAUGUGCCCAGAUGGGAUUAGCUAGUAGGUGGGGUAAUGGCUCACCUAGGCGACGAUCCCUAGCUGGUCUGAGAGGAUGAACAGCCACAUGGGAACUGAGACACGGUCCAGACUCCUACGGGAGGCAGCAGUGGGGAAUAUUGCACAAUGGGCGCAAGCCUGAUGAAGCCAUGCCGCGUGUAUGAAGAAGGCCUUCGGGUUGUAAAGUACUUUCAGCGGGGAGGAAGGCGGUGGAGUUAAUAACUUCACCGAUUGACGUUACCCGCAGAAGAAGCACCGGCUAACUCCGUGCCAGCCGCCGCGGUAA